UGGGUGCUCGCGGCAUGGCAGGAAGUCCCCUCCAAUGGAGAGGGCGAGCUAUUGCAAUCACCCCUUGGAGGGAAGCACAGUGCGCGGCGGGCCCCAGGCCGCCAUGCGGGCCACGCCAGAAUACGGCACACCGGGUGAUUUACAAUGAGCCGAAAUGUAUUUCUCGCAAUCCUAGAAACUGGGAAAUCCGUAAUGAAGGGGGCAGCCUCUGGGGUGUCCUUGCUGUGCCAUCUCAUGGGAGACGGCGGAAAGGCAAGAGAGAACCAACUUCACCCCUCGGCGAGGAACUCACCCCUGAGAUAGUGGAGUUAGUUCCACCACAGCUCUGAUCCCAAAGCCGAAACACCUGCCAGGAAGCCCCGACUCCCAACACCGUGGUGCUGGGGGUUAAGUUCCCACCACGUGCGUUUCGCAGGGACACAUUUCCCAGCUGGGAAAGCUGCCCCAGCCCAUUUGCUGAGGGCCGUGGAAGGCUGCUACCUUGCAGGUUGGUCUGUGCCAGGCCUUGGUGCCUGUGUAAGCUGUGAGCCCCACGAGGGGUGCAUGUCCCUGGGAGGAAAGCAGCAAGGCAGGGCUUAUAGGUAGCUCUAAGAGGAGAAUUACUGUACAGAAGCCUCGCGUUGUGGCACAAGGCCAUGCGAUUAGUAGCAGAGACUCCCCCACUAGAGACAAACAGCCGUUAGCGUGCGGCUAGGCCUGGUAGAGGUGGUCCCACUAAGUGACGCUGAAGUCAAUGCUGUGCAGCCUGGGCUGCGUUCACGCAGAGCCACCACGCUGUAACACUGACGAUGACAGCCGUGAUGGGGACACUGCAUCGCCUUCCGAGGGCCUGGGAUUCCAUGCAGCACUGCUUUCGGUGAAGAGAACCACUGUUGAGCAAAGGAGCCAGGGCAGUGGGCAUCAGCCCACACGCUCCUUUGGGCCUGUCCCACGCUGCCACCCUGACGUAGUCGGGAGACAGUCUUUGGAAGUGCAGCUGAGACACCACUUUGGGGAUGACGCUUGUGAGCCGAGGACGUCACUGUCCAGAAGGCAGCAGUACACAGUCUGCUCAGUAAUUUGAGAAGCACAGACAUCUGUGCAGGAAGUCCUGGGGACAGAGAGAGAGGCCUGAGAGGCGGUGGUAGCCGGGGGUCAGAGCCUUCAGGGACCAGGUUCUGGGCAGCACGCGUGUGGAGCCACAGAGGUGAGCACAGGUGUUGGGAGCUGAAUCCAGCCGGGGUGGAGGGGAAGCAGUAGGAGUGCCUCCUGCAUGCCUGGGGGCUGCGCUGGGUUUAUGGGACAACCAGAACCCUGGGGCCAGAGUGAGUCUGCUCCCAGCAUGUGUAUGCAAGUCUUGGUGGAUCUGAAGGUGCGAGGGGGUGGGCUGCAGUGACACCCGCCAAGAUCACCCUGCAGGGGCAGCGGCUCACUCCCCACGGCUGCCAGCA
This 1430-nucleotide long non-coding RNA is filed under the name Oryctolagus cuniculus (rabbit). Its description in RNAcentral is "lncRNA (ENSOCUG00000030851.1)". The record is from RNAcentral. Lineage: Eukaryota; Metazoa; Chordata; Mammalia; Lagomorpha; Leporidae.